AGCCUUUUGUAUCCGUGCUGAGAUUUCAACACACAUUAGACCACAAGUGCUGAUGAGACUUCCCAGAUAUGUGAAGCG
This 78-nucleotide microRNA precursor is filed under the name Schistosoma mattheei. RNAcentral's name for it is "mir-3492 microRNA precursor family". It matches the Rfam family "mir-3492 microRNA precursor family". The record is from Rfam by way of RNAcentral. Lineage: Eukaryota; Metazoa; Platyhelminthes; Trematoda; Strigeidida; Schistosomatidae.